This 141-nucleotide ribosomal RNA is filed under the name uncultured bacterium. RNAcentral describes it as "partial 16S rRNA". It matches the Rfam family "Bacterial small subunit ribosomal RNA", at positions 355 to 511 of the family's 1533-position model. The record is from RNAcentral.
UAGGGAAUCUUCGGCAAUGGACGAAAGCCUGACGGAGCAAUGCCGCGUGGAGGUGGAAGGCCUACGGGUCGUCAACUUCUUUUCUCGGAGAAGAAACAAUGACGGUAUCUGAGGAAUAAGCAUCGGCUAACUCUGCGCCAG